AUUGAACGCUGGCGGCAGGCCUAACACAUGCAAGUCGAGCGGAUGAAGGGAGCUUGCUCCUGGAUUCAGCGGCGGACGGGUGAGUAAUGCCUAGGAAUCUGCCUUGUAGUGGGGGAUAACGUCCGGAAACGGGCGCUAAUACCGCAUACGUCCUGAUGUAGAAAGGGGGGGAUCUUCGGACCUCACGCUAUCAGAUGAGCCUAGGUCGGAUUAGCUAGUUGGUGGGGUAAAGGCCUACCAAGGCGACGAUCCGUAACUGGUCUGAGAGGAUGAUCAGUCACACUGGAACUGAGACACGGUCCAGACUCCUACGGGAGGCAGCAGUGGGGAAUAUUGGACAAUGGGCGAAAGCCUGAUCCAGCCAUGCCGCGUGUGUGAAGAAGGUCUUCGGAUUGUAAAGCACUUUAAGUUGGGAGGAAGGGCAGUAAGUUAAUACCUUGCUGUUUUGACGUUACCAACAGAAUAAGCACCGGCUAACUUCGUG
RNAcentral lists this ribosomal RNA (484 nucleotides) under uncultured bacterium. Its description in RNAcentral is "partial 16S ribosomal RNA". It matches the Rfam family "Bacterial small subunit ribosomal RNA", at positions 30 to 507 of the family's 1533-position model. The record is from RNAcentral.